Daphnia pulicaria is the source of this 1107-nucleotide long non-coding RNA. RefSeq lists it as uncharacterized. The record is from RefSeq and is a predicted model, not a curated record. The transcript is spliced from 3 exons. Lineage: Eukaryota; Metazoa; Arthropoda; Branchiopoda; Diplostraca; Daphniidae.
ACGAAGCUGAUUUAGAAAAAAGAUAAACACUGGCUUAACACGGAGAUUUUUUUAACUCACCUGAUAUAUAGGAAGGAUAACCGUUGUAAUGAAUGGAUUCCUGAACUGCUGACGUACCGGUCGAAGGGGGGUUGAAAGCUAGUUUCGGAUGAUGAGAAGACAUGCAAUUAGAAGGCCAUGUUCUGGAUUCCUUGUUACAUAAACUGAUUCCCGUGUUGUAAUUUGAAGAGUAACCUUAAAUAAUUCAAAUGUAUUUAAAUUUUAAAUUAGCUUUGAAAUUCUUUUAUAGUAGCACAAAUAAAUUAUUCAAUACGUGUGAUUCAAAUACGCACGCCUUUGAAUUAUGGCUCAUUCUUAUUGACGCGUUUUAGGCCGAGGAACUAUGGAGAUAAUAAAGCCUCCAGCAUACUACGGUACAUCUUUAAGAAAACGAGGAGAGAUAUGGAAAUCCUAUGUGCACGCGGAGAGUUCUCUAUUACUGAAUAUUGUUCCACACACUCCAAUGUUCUGUGUGUGCUCAUGGAAUUUUAGUCUGAGGAUUGUUUGGUCUUGGGGUUGCGCUCCAAUAGAAAUCUGUUUACCGGACAACAUUUAGCUCCUAUCGUAUUGAACAGCCUCUUUAUAAUAACCGUAAAAUGUGCUACCCAUCGCCGGCUAAAAACCCACCACUUUAGACAGUCGAUGGAUGUGUGGCAAAAAGGGCAAGAGGAAAUGGGAGGAAGAAACCGGAAAAAAAAAAAAUUGAAUGAUUCAGUAAUCGAAACGUAUCGGUUUACUCGUGGUCAAUUCGAUCUGGCAAGACUAGAUGGCUUCCAUUCGAAUAAAUUCAAUUAAAAAGCUUUAAAAAAUUUACCUGAAUUAUUUUGGUAAAACAUUUCGUUCGGAUUGGACGGAUUCAUUCAAAUAAAAAAUAAAACUUAUUUGAAUCUUCUCGAAUAAGUUCGUGUAAAAAAACCCCAAAAAAGGACAGUUGGAACUCCACUAGAAAUAGAUAGUCAGAUUCUCUGAGUUCUUAGAUCGAUGGAUAGAUGGUGUGGGGUUAGCAUUGAGAUGCACACAGCACACAGCAAUAUUCGACUUACAAGUUUAAACCAAUAGAAAAAAUAA